Molecule: long non-coding RNA, 2148 nt
Filed under: Zea mays
Lineage: Eukaryota; Viridiplantae; Streptophyta; Magnoliopsida; Poales; Poaceae
Description: long non-coding RNA (ZMAY_LNC005248)
Source: RNAcentral
UUCACCAAACAGAUGCUCAGGAUCUUCGAUCUCGUAGAACUCGAAGAGUUCGAUCACUUGGUCGCCAAAGCUUGACCGUCGAUUCCUCGAAGCUCAGAAACGAAUCGCGAUCUAAUCGCACGCGAAGCGAAGAUGAAUAGGCACAAGCAAACAAACAUAUACAUAUACAUAAAAACAUUACACCAUACAAGAUAAGAUGUUAUAAAAGCGAGCAAUAUAAAAUAGAGAGCGCUUCUACGAUUAUGCGAGGAAAAGAACAGCGAUAGUCGAAGUUACAGUCGAGGGGUUAGCGUGUUUACACUAAGCAAGUAUUAGUUAGAAUAUUUAAUCCGAUAUUUCUCAAAUAUAAAUUAUAACUACUAUUUAAUCUCGAUUAGUCUGCUACUCUAAUAGCUUGUCAGUUAAAUAAGCAAAUUAAAUAACAUCAGCGACCCUAAGUGAGACAAAUUCACGGCGCGUAAAAUAGCACUACAUAGUGCAGAACGACGCGUGGACACGAGCGACAUAGCACGCUCACGACACAUGAAGCAGUGCGCACGACUAGCGUGAACGACGCGUGAACCAGCACGCCACCACGUGCGGAACAGCACGCGCGACAGGCGAGAAACUAAAUAGGUGACACAUUUGUACUAAACAAAUAUUAAAUAAAUAAAAAGUAAUUAAGUUAAUAUUAGCCAUGUUAACGUUUAUUAUAAAAGUGCAAGUUGAACCCUACACAUUCAAUCUAAUUAGAAAGUUAAUCUAAUAGAUAUUAGUCGAGCAAACCUUAAGUUAAUUAUCUAAAAUAUGUGACCCAGCGAAUUAACGUUAUUAACAUGAGUGUUUAUAAGCAAAAACAAUUUAUUAUCACUCGCAGAUGUCGCGCGACACACGCGAACAACACGACGACGGCGAGCGCAACACACGCGAAUAACUCGUAAUCAGCGCGCGCGACACACGAGCACCACUAACAGAUGUCAUGAUUAUACUAAACAAGUAUUAAUUCAAAAUCAUCUGUGUUGACAUUUAUCACAUUAAUUUGUAUUUAUAAAAGCGUAAAUUUAAACUAUAACUUAGUUUUUAUUAGAUCUUCAUUUUAAUAAUCGAAGAUUAAACCAAUAAUUAGUUAACUACAUGAAACAUGUGUUACGAUAAAUUAAUAUUUUUAACGUGUACAUGACAUUAUUGUGAAGCUAACGAAACUGCAACGAAAUAAAUCGGACAUCUAACACAUAUGGUAACUCGUAUUUAAUAACGUCCGGAUUUAAUGCAGUGGCGCAAUAUGACUGGUUAGAGCCAAGCCACACAGAGGCUUACGAAGUCGCGGAUGCAGUAGAUCUAACACGACGGAGUUUCCAAGCAUGCGUAGGAAAAGAAUAAAAAAACGCAACAGAGGCAUGCAAAAAGAAGAUGCAUGCCAUGCGAUGGGGUCGAGGUGGUUUCCACUUUCCAGGAUGCUAAUCGUGCGCACGGCGUGAGGAAUGUGUGGGAGACAUGCAUGCGGGCCCCCCGAGCGGUUAUCAGCUACGAGCCUAUGACGAGCAGCAGGUUUCUCUUCCUCCUUCCAUCGGCUAGGACGAGCACGCAUGCACAAAGGCGAUGGGAAGUGCUGCUCCAGCCGAGGCUAGCGGGCGGGGCGGGUGGCACUGGUCCGGUGGCCAUGGCCGGACAACGCGACGUCUCUAGUCGGACUCUGGCGGGGCUAGACGUUGACGCGACAGCAGCGUCCAUGGCCGGUGGGGCUCGCCGCACAUGGUCAGCGGAGGCAUGGGGCAGCACGUCUACGACGACUCCACGCGCAGGGGCCAGAUGCCUAGGCGCGCUGGCUGUCCGCCGCGUCGCGCCCUGCGCAGGAGCCGCGCAUCGGAGGGAAAGGGAGCCGUGCAGGGGCUCGUCGGGAGGAGACGAAUUGCUCGGUAGGGGGCAGAGAGGGGAGGGAUGAGGUGGGAAGGGAAAGCGGACUCACCACGACGGAGUUCGACGGCGAGUACCAUUCGGCGCGGACAGCGCUCUCGGCGACUCCAACUCUGCGGCGACGAGCGGGAGAGAACCAGGGCGAGAGAAAUUGGCAUGAGAGAAACCGACGGGACAUGGGGAGGAAAUGGGGACGAGAGAAGGUGGAGACUUAGUGUGGCACCGGGCUGACAGGCGGGUCCCACUCGUGGCGGC